AUGCACAAUUCUGAUGACAAGUUAACAUGUCCCAUUUGUUACAGUAUUUUUGAAGAUCCUUGUGUACUACCGUGCUCUCAUACAUUUUGUAGAAAUUGUUUGGAAAACGUUCUUCAAGCAUCUGGGAACUUUUAUAUAUGGAGACCUUUACAAAUUCCACUCAAAUGCCCUAAUUGCAGAAGUAUUAUUGAAAUUGCUCCAACUGGUAUUGAAUCUUUACCUGUUAAUUUUGCAUUAAGGGCUAUUUUGAAAAGUACCAGCAAGAAGACCAUCCAGAUAUUGUCAACUGUCCUGAACAUUACAGACAACCAUUAAAUGUUUACUGUCUCCUAGAUUAAAAAAACUAGUUUGUGGUCAUUGCCUUACCAUAGGUCAACAUCAUGGCCAUCCCAUAUAUGAUCUUCAAAGUGCUUAUCUGAAAGAAAAGGACACGCCUCAAAAACUACUUGAACAGUUAACUGACACACACUGGACAGAUCUUACUUGUCUUAUUGAAAAGCUGGAAGAACAGAAAUCUCAUUCAGAAAAAAUGGUCCAAAGUGAUAAGGAAGUUGUUCUACAGUAUUUUAAGGAGCUUAGUGAUACAUUAGAACAGAAAAAAAAAGUUUUCCUAGCUGCUCUCUGUGAUGUUAGCAAUCUGAUUAAUCAGGAAUAUACUCCACAAAUUGAAAGAAUGAAAGAAAUAAGAGAGCAGCAAUUUGAAUUAAUGACACUGACAUCAUCUUUACAGGAAGAGUCUCCACUUAAAUUUCUUGAAAAAGUUGAUGAUAUCCGCCAACACGUGCAGAUUUUGAAACAAAGACCCCUUCCUGAGGUUCAACCUGUUGAAAUUUAUCCUUGAGUAAGCCAAAUAUUGAAAGAAGAUUGGAGAAGAACAGAAAUUGGACAAAUUAAGAAACUUCUCAUUCCUGAAAUGAAAAUUUCUUCAAAGAGGAUGCCAUGUUCCUGGCCUGAUAAAGAUGAAAAAGAAGUUGAAUUUUUUAAGAUUUUAAACAUUGUUAUAGUUACUUUAAUUUCAGUGAUACUGAUGUUGAUCCUCUUUUUUAACCAACACAUAAUGACCUUUUUAAAUGAAAUCACUUCAAUAUGUUUUUCUGAAGUCUCUCUAUCUGUUUAUCAAAGUUUGUCUAACAAUCUGCAUGAUUUAAAGAAUAUGCUAUGUCACACUUUACAUUUAUUGAAGGAAUUCAUGUGGAAAAUAGUUUCUCGUUGA
Molecule: non-coding RNA, 1213 nt
Organism: Callorhinus ursinus (northern fur seal)
Lineage: Eukaryota; Metazoa; Chordata; Mammalia; Carnivora; Otariidae
Source: RefSeq, a predicted model, not a curated record